RNAcentral lists this long non-coding RNA (655 nucleotides) under Equus caballus (horse). Its description in RNAcentral is "lncRNA (ENSECAG00000054121.1)". Lineage: Eukaryota; Metazoa; Chordata; Mammalia; Perissodactyla; Equidae. The record is from RNAcentral.
AAAAUUUUGACAGUCACAAUGUAUCAAUGCAUAUUGACUCUAUUAAUACAAUUUUCCUGUUUGCUUUGACCUUUAUUUUUCUUUACUCAAUUGAACAGAUAUUUUUGAGUGCUUACAUUGUGCUCGGAAGUGUAGGAGAUAAAAAAUGAAACAUAAAUCCUGCCCUCUGGGUUUAGGCGUAUACAAGUACAAUAGUCCAAUCAACGUAAGGAUGGGGAGGCAUUUGGGAUUCUGCUCCAUACGUCAUUCAGGGUUCCAGGCUUCCUCAACAUGUGGAUUUCAAGUUUUCAAGGAGUCCAGAGAUUGCAGGAUCCAGAGAAAACCCCGGGGUGAUGAUCGCCGCCUCCGGUACCAAGCUGGACAAUGGCCUAGAGAAGACUCAGAGGCCACUACGAAAUCUCCUAUCUGCCAAAACUCCCAGCGCUUUCAACUUCUCCUAGACAAACAAUAAUUUGACUUUUGCUUCUCUUUUACCUUCAGAAUCCCAUGCAAGAGACUCUCAUUGAUGAGAUUCUUGGAAAUUUAGCUCCAAUCUUUUAACUCCAAUACAGACCAUGGAAGGGAGACAAUGACAAGUUACGAAUGACAAUCUAAACAGUAGUUUUUAUUGUUAAGUAUAUGUGCAUUCACUGUAUUUUUAUCAGCAUGCUUUAUA